UCUCCUCAUUCUGCGGUGACUUCGUUAGAUUCCUUUUAUAUAUGUGUAUGUCUGUGGAAGCUUCUACAGUAGUAGGUUUCCGGGUGGCUUUGCUGUCUCCUCAUAUUCCCUCUUUACCCUGGCCUCCCAUUUACCUCUUGUUUUUGGUACAACCUUGGCUAUCCCUGGAACAGAGCUUCUUUGUGCUAUCAGAAAACACUUCCCAGAAGAUUUCACCUCAAUAAUGUUGUUCUCUUCUUAAUCACCACUAAUUUCUUGGCGCCAGCGAACCAGCAUGAAUUGUCCCAGCAGUCCCUUCUAUUUUUCACUCUAAAGCCCUAGCCACAUGGCCGACGCUGCCGUAUUCUGCUGGGGUUUUUUUGUUUUGUUUUUUUGGUUUUUUUUGUGCUGAAAUAUGCCCCACCCCCUUUAUUCUGUUACCAGCUCCCUCUCUCCCUAAGCUUGGCUUUCCUGGAACUUGCUCAGUAGAUUGACCUUGAACUCGAAGAUCUGCAUGGCUCUGUCUCUAGGAUUAAAGCCUCAGACAAGACUCUUCAGACAAGGGCAAAAAGCAGCCAUGUUCGUCACCAAAAUACCACAGAAACAGCCUCUACGCCACAUACUGAAGUUCUUCUUCACUGAAACUUCUUGGGCCAGGUUCUACACAAACAGUGGACACCUCUGGGUUGACUGCUGUGUUCUACCUAGCUGACGAACACCACCCAAAGACCAGCUUCCAAUACAAACUGCUCAAGACAUUCAUACUGCUGAGUUCAUAGGACACUGACAUUCACAUUUUACAGAACUUUGAACUCAAAGAAAAACCUUAAUACUAAG
This is a long non-coding RNA of Grammomys surdaster, 816 nucleotides long. RefSeq lists it as uncharacterized. NCBI's taxonomy places the organism in Eukaryota, Metazoa, Chordata, Mammalia, Rodentia, Muridae. The record is from RefSeq and is a predicted model, not a curated record. The transcript has 3 exons.